Molecule: non-coding RNA, 253 nt
Filed under: uncultured bacterium
Lineage: Bacteria
Also listed under: 1 other name
Description: partial 16S ribosomal RNA
Rfam family: Bacterial small subunit ribosomal RNA
Source: RNAcentral
UACAGAGGGUGCUAGCGUUGUUCGGAAUGACUGGGCGUAAAGGGCGCGUAGGCGGUUUAUCAAGUCAGAUGUGAAAGCCCUGGGCUUAACCUAGGAACUGCAUUUGAUACUGGUUGACUGGAGUACGAGAGAGGAAAGUGGAAUUCCUAGUGUAGAGGUGAAAUUCGUAGAUAUUAGGAGGAACACCAGAGGCGAAGGCGGCUUUCUGGCUCGUAACUGACGCUGAGGCGCGAAAGCGUGGGGAGCAAACAGG